AUCUUUUUUGUGCUCUUCCGAUCUUUGGUUUAAGGUUCUUGUCGUCACAUCUACUUAUGUUGCCUCUUGGUUUGUGGUGCUAUACUUAACUUGUGAGGUGUGUGAGACUUGCCUAUUGUCGCCAUCUUGAUUUGACAUUGUUGCCUCGUUAAACUCCCAGCUUGAACUUUUUUUUUGUUCUAUUAAUUUUGUUCUUACCAAGGAAUAAUCAGUUUAUUACUAUUAUGUUAUGUAUUUUAUUAAUUUUUGGACUCAUAAUUAACAUCAAUUGAUUUUAUUUUUUUCUAAUGUAAUUACAAAUAUGUAAAUCAGUUAAGCCGGCAAUACAUAAAAGGUGUCGCUAGAGUAUGGAAGGUAGAGCCUCUACUGUUGAUGCGCAGCUGGCGUGGUGGUCCCGACUGUGGUGUCUUCGUCUUGAUUGUGGUGCCUUGAAAAGGUAGUGUACCUUGUGGAAAGUGUGGUUCAUCGAACUGUGCCGCUGGACUAUAGACGUUUGAACAACAGAACUUUGUUGGUGGAGGUUCUCUGUAAAGUGGAGACUUUUUUUUAUGUUAUUAUUUAUACAAGUUGUAUUUACUAAUUUUAUAGUUAUAUUAAAAGGAAGUUCCUACCUUACAUGUUUUAUGGAGUUUUUGGAUGAUGCAGUUCAGUCGCUUUUUCGUUGGCUACUACAACAUGAAGUGCAGAUAAAGAUUACCGUCCAACAAAAGGAGCGGUCAGAGGGGGCGCGGGGUCCGGACCUAAGUAGAGGUAGGGGUGAUACUGCCUACCCUACAAACUGGGACUUUGUAGAUUCCUGAUCUUUUGUGGUGUUCCCAUGUGUCUUUCUCAUUGCAGAGCUUACUAAAAAGCAUUGGUACUAUACGAAAAUGAUUGCAGCGCAGAGGUGGGAAGGUAACAUAAGUUUGAUCAGAU
Molecule: long non-coding RNA, 915 nt
Filed under: Androctonus crassicauda
Lineage: Eukaryota; Metazoa; Arthropoda; Arachnida; Scorpiones; Buthidae
Source: RNAcentral